CGUGUAGGCGGUUCAGUAAGUGGAAUGUGAAAUGCCCCGGCUUACCCGGGGACCUGCAUCCCAAACUGCUGGACUUGAGUACGGGAGAGGAUGAGGGAAUUCCUGGUGUAGCGGUGAAAUGCGUAGAUAUCAGGAGGAACACCGGUGGCGAAGGCGCUCAUCUGGCCCGAUACUGACGCUGAGGCGCGAAAGCUAGGGGAGCGAACGGGAUUAGAUACCCCGGUAGUCCUAGCCGUAAACGGUGAGCACUAGGUGUUGGAGGCAUCGACCCCUCCAGUGCCGCAGCUAACGCAUUAAGUGCUCCGCCUGGGGAGUACGGCCGCAAGGUUGAA
Molecule: ribosomal RNA, 332 nt
Filed under: uncultured Desulfomonile sp.
Lineage: Bacteria; Pseudomonadati; Thermodesulfobacteriota; Desulfomonilia; Desulfomonilales; Desulfomonilaceae
Description: bacterial SSU rRNA
Rfam family: Bacterial small subunit ribosomal RNA
Source: RNAcentral